GAGCCCUGGUCUGGGAGCCUGGUGAGCUGGUGGGGGGGAGCCAGGACGCUCCUUCUUUGGGUGUGGCAAAGUUUGCAAGAUUGUUUAAGUACAAAUGCACCUCUCUGCCCACUGAAAAAGGUGUAUUGUUAGGUUUAAGGUUGUGAGGCUGCACGAGUUUUAGUUCCACUUCACCACUUGGAUCCUUUUUGAGGAAAAUCUGUGUGUCUGUUACCUCGUGUUGGGAGGGGAGCGAACAGUCUUGCAGGAAUUUUGUGGGAAGUAUAAUGCCGGCUCCCCUGUGAAGGAACAAGCAGCCAGCCUGUCGCCUGGUGAGGAAAUAAACAACUAGUCAGGUAGAGAUAACUCCCGCAGUUCAGACUCCUCUCGCUGUGGGCGUGGCUUGUGGAGCUGGUUCUGAGAGCUGGGUGAGCGCCCAGCCUGAUUUGGCCUGGAAGGCUGGACCCGCCCUGCCAAUCAAGCUGCCAAGCCAAGUUUUGCCUCCAGCUCAAGAGGCAUGAAUUGAUUUUUAGAACGUUUUCUUUUCUGGGGAGAUGGCCUAGUGGGUAAGAACGCUUGGUGUUCCAGCGUGGGGGAACUGAAUUAAAAAGCCCUGCAUGGCCCCUACAGGUGCCUGUAAGCCCCGUGGAGGGCAGCUACAGGAGGAUUUCUGGGACUUACUGGAUGUCAGCCUAGCUCCAGGUUCAAUGAGAGAUCCUAUGUGAAGGGAGUGAAGAAUGUUGGACACCUGAUGGCCUCCUCUGGCCUGAGAGCUGGAGAGGAACCGUUUCUUGCUGAUGGGGUUAAAGGCAAAGUACAAAGGCUCUCAACAUCCCCUUUCACUUUCUUUUUCACAAAAGCAAUUUAUUAACUAAUCAAGCGGCCAAGGCAGGAAGGAGAAACACCUAAUGGGAAAGUGGUCACUGUUGGUUUCUGAGUAUCCAUGAGCUUUCAUGUAUUCCUCUAUUAUAGGCUUUGAAAUUCACGAAGCCGCAAGCCUGCUUC
This 984-nucleotide long non-coding RNA is filed under the name Mus musculus (house mouse). RNAcentral's name for it is "long non-coding RNA chr9:54068618-54069602". Lineage: Eukaryota; Metazoa; Chordata; Mammalia; Rodentia; Muridae. The record is from RNAcentral.